AGUGGGGAAUAUUGGGCAAUGGGCGCAAGCCUGACCCAGCGACGCCGUGUGCGGGAAGACGGCCUUAGGGUUGUAAACCGCUGUUGUACGGGAAGAAGGAAUUGACAGUACCGUACGAGUAAGGUCCGGCUAACUACGUGCCAGCAGCCGCGGUAAUACGUAGGGACCGAGCGUUAUCCGGAAUUACUGGGCGUAAAGGGCACGCAGGCGGUCAUGCAAGUCAGCUGUUAAAUGUGGGGGCUUAACCCUUACGAGCGGUUGAAACUGUGUGACUUGAGUACUGGAGAGGUAAGCGGAAUUCCCGGUGUAGCGGUGAAAUGCGUAGAUAUCGGGAAGAACACCAGUGGCGAAGGCGGCUUACUGGCCAGUAACUGACGCUGAGGUGCGAAAGCCAGGGUAGCGAACCGGAUUAGAUACCCGGGUAGUCCUGGCCGUAAACGCUGAAUGCUAGGUGUGGGUGGGUAGAACCAUCCGUGCCGGAGUUAACGCGAUAAGCAUUCCGCCUGGGGAUUACGACCGCAAGGUUG
Molecule: ribosomal RNA, 527 nt
Filed under: uncultured bacterium
Lineage: Bacteria
Description: bacterial SSU rRNA
Rfam family: Bacterial small subunit ribosomal RNA
Source: RNAcentral